RNAcentral lists this ribosomal RNA (279 nucleotides) under uncultured bacterium. RNAcentral describes it as "partial 16S ribosomal RNA". It matches the Rfam family "Bacterial small subunit ribosomal RNA", at positions 506 to 784 of the family's 1533-position model. The record is from RNAcentral.
UGCCAGCCGCCGCGGUAAUACGAAGGGCCCGAGCGUUAAUCGGAAUCACUGGGCUUAAAGGGUGUGUAGGCUGUUUUGUAAGUAUCUUGUGAAAUCCCAAGGCUCAACCUUGGAACUGCUGGGUAUACUGCAAAACUUGAGGUCGGUAGGGGCAGCUGGAACAAUAGGUGGAGCGGUGAAAUGCGUAGAUAUCUAUUGGAACGCCAAAGGCGAAGGCAAGCUGCUGGGCCGAAUCUGACGCUGAGACACGAAAGCGUGGGGAGCAAACAGGAUUAGAUA